CGAACGGGUGAGUAACGCGUGAGGAACCUGCCUCAAAGAGGGGGACAACAGUUGGAAACGACUGCUAAUACCGCAUAAGCCCACGGCUCGGCAUCGAGCAGAGGGAAAAGGAGCAAUCCGCUUUGAGAUGGCCUCGCGUCCGAUUAGCUAGUUGGUGAGGUAACGGCCCACCAAGGCGACGAUCGGUAGCCGGACUGAGAGGUUGAACGGCCACAUUGGGACUGAGACACGGCCCAGACUCCUACGGGAGGCAGCAUG
This 258-nucleotide ribosomal RNA is filed under the name uncultured bacterium. RNAcentral describes it as "partial 16S ribosomal RNA". It matches the Rfam family "Bacterial small subunit ribosomal RNA", at positions 99 to 353 of the family's 1533-position model. The record is from RNAcentral.